RNAcentral lists this ribosomal RNA (253 nucleotides) under uncultured bacterium. Its description in RNAcentral is "partial 16S ribosomal RNA". It matches the Rfam family "Bacterial small subunit ribosomal RNA", at positions 524 to 776 of the family's 1533-position model. The record is from RNAcentral.
UACGUAGGGUGCUAGCGUUGUCCGGAAUCAUUGGGCGUAAAGCGCGUGUAGGCGGCCAGAUAGGUCUGCUGUGAAAACUCGAGGCUCAACCUCGAGCUGUCGGCGGAAACCAUCUGGCUAGAGUCCGGAAGAGGAGAGUGGAAUUCCCGGUGUAGCGGUGAAAUGCGCAGAUAUCGGGAAGAACACCAGUGGCGAAGGCGGCUCGCUGGGACGGUACUGACGCUGAGACGCGAAAGCGUGGGGAGCGAACAGG